Molecule: long non-coding RNA, 556 nt
Organism: Homo sapiens (human)
Lineage: Eukaryota; Metazoa; Chordata; Mammalia; Primates; Hominidae
Exons: 2
Source: RefSeq, a predicted model, not a curated record
GAACUCCUGACUUCAAGUGAUUGGACUCCCAAAGUGCUGGAAUUACAGGCAUAAGCCACCAUGCCUGGCCUCCCCUAAUUUGCUUCUUUAAACCUCUCUACAUCAUCACAAGUUGGGUGUUACUAUGAUCACUAUUUUACAGGUCAGCCAAAGAGGAGCAAAGAGUCAUCUACCUCAAUCAUGUUCAGGAAAUGAUCAGGUCAAGAUGUGGAGUGAGCCAGCUUUUCUCUUUCGUGCCACAUUUUCUGACCCAGCAUUUCAAGGUACUUCUAAUACACAAAGACUAUUACAAGAGGGAGGAAAGAAGGAAGGUCAGUUAUCUGAAGAACUGAGGCUAGCUAGAAGCCCAAAUUUGGUGUGAUGGGGGCCAUCAAAUCUCAACAGAAACAGCUUUCUCUCUCUGUUAUCCUGGACAGGGCUUGUGAUUUUUUUUUUUCCUCCACUCAGCCAUAGACUCUCAGCUACAUAUCCUCUAGCCUGGAGUAGUCAAAUCAGCUCAUCUCUUUCUCUCUCAUACCAAACUUUCAAAAACAAAACAAAACAAACCAAAAAAACA